GGGGAUUUAGCUCAGCGGCAUAAGCGCCUGCCUUGCAAGCAGGCGGUCGUGAGUUCUAUCCCCG
This 64-nucleotide transfer RNA is filed under the name Cavia porcellus (domestic guinea pig). It matches the Rfam family "tRNA", at positions 1 to 62 of the family's 71-position model. Rfam says of the family: Transfer RNA (tRNA) molecules are approximately 80 nucleotides in length. Their secondary structure includes four short double-helical elements and three loops (D, anti-codon, and T loops). Lineage: Eukaryota; Metazoa; Chordata; Mammalia; Rodentia; Caviidae. The record is from Rfam by way of RNAcentral.